ACCAUAACCCUGAAUCGUACUCUUACCCGUCGAAGAAAAUAUCUGCAACAUAAGACGUUGCAGCCGUGUAGGUCAGCAUAUUGAAUAUGCCCGCAAGUCAUCAAAGAGAGGAGUAAAAUAAUAAUCAACUAUCUCUACAUGCAUAUUUGGCCGGUGGGGCUAAGUUUUGCAUAAAGCCAGUUUUAUCCUACAACAAGAGGGGUUGGAAGCAAAAUAUUACUACAUUGUUUGUUGUUAACAAGAUGGUUCCGCCAACCAAUUCUCGUACCCGAAUAGUUGUUAACACCCACAUCAUUAUUAAGUUGUGUCGAGAGUUCAGGGGAAAUUCAAUGCCUUCGGCUCAAGUUUUCCAUGACCGUGGACACGGCUAAUCGAUUAGGUUGGGCACUCUGCAGAGUUUUGCACACGUUCCCCACAAGAUUUGAUCGCCUCCGGGUUUGUCCUCGCACUUCAGGGUGUUUGAAGACCGGAAGAUCAAAACAUGGUCUUUCAACGGGUCCCUCUGAAUCCCUGUCGGUGCCCAUCCAUUCCUACGGUUCUUCUACAUCUGCUAGCACCGCCUGUCCAGAGUCGCCGCGUUGUCCAACCAAGCCAGAGCCCAUAAUAACUUGUGGCUGUGCAGGUAAGCCUUGAGUCUUGCAAAUAUCCGUCCGUCUCUUUGAGCCUGGGUGAAGCUUUCCGCAGGAUGUCAUGGCCUCUCCAGCAUCCCGGGUCAUCCACUGGGUUCUCCAGGGAGCCGAUCAACCGUCCUUCACCCAGAGUUGCAUUGCGUCCGAGGUCUUGAAAAUCUUGUCUUAACCGGUCUUGAUUAUUUAAUCAACCUCGCAUCACUCGUGUUAUGCACUCAACCGAAAUUCCGUCUACUCAAGCAUAGCAAUAUGAAAUUUGUCGUCCCGGGGCCAAGUAUCGGGGUUGUUGUGUGCCUACCACAUGAUACUACAAUCUAUACUAAAAAUUUCCAAGUACCUAAGCAGCAUGCAAUUGGGCAUAGGAUGGUAGAACUACGAUGCAUAAAACAUAGGUGAUAGUAUGAUCAAAAUGACUUGCCUGGUAUUACUUGAUGAAGAUAGUCGCUCUCAAAAUCCUGAUAAUUCUACUCGCCACACUCCGAGCAAUCUAUUGUAAACGAAUAGCAUUCAAUAAACAUUCAUGCCAAAAAGGAAGAACCAAAAGAACAUAAGAACAAAACAUGUCUUUGUGCAAAAUAACAACAUACUAAGGUUUAAUAAAAAAAAAGGUUCUAAGUGUGUUGUAAAGUGAAGGUGCAUGAAUGAGAUCAAAAGAGUUAAUGGACGAUGAACUAUUGCUAUAUAAGCUCGACCUGCAUACACUAUGGGAGAUGAUCAAAAAUAUUGGAAGAACAACAUGAAUGUUGUUUGACAAAUAGUAUAAGACAUAAGAAUUUAUUUGUAGAAAGAAUUUCUUGAAAUGGAGCACUACAACGCAAGUUAUAGCGAAUUGAAGUAUGAAUUGAAUUUGCAUUCAAAAGGUCAAGAGAAGUUGAACUGAAGUACGAUGGUUACGUACAAAAAUAUAUGACAUGAGUGUUUAGGGGUAAAAGGAAUCAAUUGAAAAGGUGGUACGAUUUGCAAGAUAAGAUCAAAUGAAUGUUUGAAUACAAAUUUGAAUCGCUCAAAUUUGUAAGGUUCAAAGGUCAAAACUAAUGAUGCUACUGGAUAUAGGAGAUCAAUAUGAGCGUGUAGAAAAAAGAAUUACUAGAUUUGAACUAGCGGAUCAAAAGAUACAAAUACGUCAAUAUAACAUUGAAUCGGCUUACAAUGAUGUGAACACUUUUGGGCACUAAUAGAUAAAUCUGAUUUGAUCAAAAUUAUAAGUUGAAAAGUUAAAACUAAUGAUACAAACGGAAAGAUUACUUUGAUACGAAUCCGACACAAUUGAAUUCAUCUAAAACGGAGCUACGGAUAAAAAGAUAUGAUCAAAAGAAGUUUGAAUAUGAAUAUGAGCAAAUUUCAAAAUUUGAAAAUUUCAAAAAAAGUUGAUAUGAUAGGUUCAUCGGAUAGGUGGGAUCAAGACGAAACUCUAGGCGUUGGUUUCAUCUAAUUCGGAUAAACGAGUAAAAAGUUAUGGCUAUUUGAAAAAUCAGGACCAAGCUGUUUUACGAAAGAAAAGUGCUAUGUCUAAAAGAAUUCUAGUACUAAUGUGUAAAUACAAAGACUAAUUAAUAUAUCUAAUUACUCUACCGUGUACUAGUGUAGGAAUACUAGUCUAGAAAUAAUAAACUACGGAAGUAUAAAAAAAAUACGAAGAGAAAUACCUUUAGAAUGCAGAGUAAGAAUUAAUUCCAAUGAGGAGACGACUUCGAGAAAUCCCGCCGAAGAGAAGAAAAAAAUAUUUUUAUUUAAUAAAUCUAGUUAAACCAAAAGAUUGAUUUAACCCGAAAUAGAUGAUUUUUGUAUGCUCCUAUGGAUCUAUAUUUAUAGGUGGAAGGGAGGUCUAAUGGUCCAUAGAUAGGCAAUGUGGGACUAAACAUAUACGUAAAGAGGAGAAAAUAGAAAAAAGAGAGAAGAAGGGCCGCAUGGGCAAAAAACUUUGGCCACCCGCAUGAGCACUUACGGCCAGCCGUGGCCUUUGUUUUUUUUUUUCAAACGAACAAAAAAAAAAUUAAAAACAAAGAAGAAAAACGUAUAAAUGAAAAAGAGAGAACAUUUUAUAUAGACAUAUUAUAUAUCAAAAAAUUUAGAAUAAAAUUUUCUAAAACAUGAACAUAUUUUCAAAACCAAAAAAAUACUUUUAAAAAAAAUUAUUUUUUUGCAAUAACUUUAAAAUGAAAAGGAAUUUGAAUUUCAAAUAAAUUGCAAAUACUUAAAAUUUGAAUCAAGACAUUGUCUCUGAUUUUGGAGGGUCAUUUUCCUCCUCUCGUUUGAUUUUUUUUAAUCAAAGGGUUUUGAAAAUAUUCAAAAUCAAAAUCGAAAAGGGAUUCAAAAUAGAAAAUUUUGGGAAAGUCAUUUUAUUCCCUCUCAUUUUUUUGAGAAGUUUCAAAUUCCACUCAAGUUUCAAUCACUCAAACAAACAAACAAUCAAUCUAAUAAUUAUAUUAACAUUCCAAAAUUUAUAAUUUUGGGAUGUUACACCUAAUGUGACUAACCUCGAGCCAACGUGGUUGGGGACCAACAAGCUCAAACUUGAUCAAUAGGUGAUUGUGGAGGACAUUGGAGAAUUGGAUACAUAAUGAAGAAUUAAGGGGUCUUCAUCAUUCAUAUUAUCUCAAGCCAAGUCAUUUGGAUUAUCGAGUUUCUAUCUUAUAUUCAAUGUGCCUCCUUACAGAACAAUUGGAGAUGCAUUGGAUGGUCGGAUCACCUACAAGGAAGGUGUUGACACCGUGUUCUUAAUGAAGCCAAGUUAGUAUGAUCAACGAACAACCAUCUACUACAUCAAUCCAAUGAUGUCUCGAUAACAAGUAUCUACUUCAUGCAUACAUUCCUUGCAAGGCCCGAACAUAUCUUAUCUUGGCCGAGCGAUACUACCGUGGGUAGCCACGGUACUACCGAUGGAGAUGUGUUACUGCUGCACUCAUGCAGUAGCAGCACCGACACGGUACUACAGCAUCCAGCACGGCAGUAUUUUGCUGCUGCCGCUGGAUGAACGGUACUACCGCCCAGCGAGCGGGAAUAAAAUUUUACAACCGCUGGCCAAGUGGUACUACCGUGAUGACGUGCAGUACUACCGCGCCGUCGGGACCGCGAGUGGUUAUACCCUCCUCUCGUAGUUCUGUCUCUCUCUCCAGGUUUCAUCUUGGCAUGAAUCUCUUGAUUCAUUCGUGUGGUACUUGUUUCCUUUCUCAAAGCAUCCAAACGAUGAUGUCUUAUUUCAAGUUGGGAUGUCUUUGAUAUUCGUAUGUUGGAAGUUCAUAUUGUACAAUAUGAAAAUAUUAGGCCAUGUGCUAUGCUUCCAAGCAAAGACCUUAUUGAUAUAUUUAUGACUUUCUUUUGGAUAUCUUGUUUGUUCCUUCUUGUAACCAUUUAGUGUGUACAUCCUUGUUUGUGGAUAUAUAUCAUCAUGAUUGUAUUCUACCUAGAAUCUUUUACACAUGAGAGAAGUUACAUCUCUAAUUGAUAUCCUCUUUUCUCUCACGUCCACCGUUGCAUUUCCUUUUUCCUUUUUUGGUGGCUUUGUGAAAGGAUUUGUCUUGAGUGUGUAUCUUAUAUUCUUGCAUCUUGAUGCACUCUUUGGUGGUGAAGAUUAUUUUUCCUCAUGCUUGUCUUGAUGAGGGUUUUUCCAUUUCGAUUGGUAUCCCUCCUCUUGACAAGGUUAUUACUUCCUAUCUUCACCAUGGGUUGUCACAAGCGUUGGUUCUCAAUUUGUUUUUUAGCAAGCUUGUGAACCCAUUUUCUAGUAGUGUGUGUGUGGGAAGGAUAUGUCUUGCACUUUGUUUCUCAUUUCAUCAAGACUAUGUUGAUGAGUAAUGCUCAUCCUUAUCUUAAUCCUCUCAAGUGCUUUGCCAUGACUCACACACAUUAUUUUGGUUGAGCCUAUCUUAAGUUGUUUCUUUUACAUGUUGCUCAACCAUUUGUUUUGUGCAAGUGAUAUGCUUAUUGUCUCAUCUAUCUUCUUUCACUCGUUGUGUGUUUUUAUUAAUUUUGGGGGAGCAACGAUCCUAUUUUGUGCAGUUGUAUCAAAUACAAAAAUCUCAUAUUGGUGCACAAAUCAUGGGGAGCUUCUCUAGUUUUGAUAAAACACUCCUUUGCCUUUAUCAUAAUAUCUUUUAUUCAUGUCGUUCGAAGGACCAUGUGACUUUUUGUUCCAUAUGGUAUCUUUUGAUUGCUUGCUUCUAUUUUGUAUGUCUUUGUGCCAUACGAUCCUUCUUUUAGCAAUCUUUGGGUCCUCAAUAUAGUUUGUUUUCCUCCAACUACUUAUCAUUGUAUUUGUGUAUUUCUUCGCACCCAUUUGUUGAGAAGUACACACUUUUUGGAGGACCACCUACUAUAUUGGCUUUCUAAACUUUUUGUCCAUUUUGGCAAUCGAUGCCAAUGGGGGAGAAGUUUAGAGAGUUUACUUUGGAUAUGUUUAGAGGGUUUUGCUUUUAUUGUGUAAGAAUUUACAUCUUGCAUUAUUGCUUUGUAUGUGUGUGCUUGGUUAUACUUAUUUCCUUAUAUAAACUCUCUUGAAGUGGUUGUCAUCAAUUACCAAAAUGGGGGAGAUUGUUAGAGCAUAUUUCUCCAUAUGUGGUUUUAGUAAUUGAUGGCAAUCCCUAUGGACUAAUGGUUGCCUUAAGUUAUAUUCAAAGGAUUUGUCCAUAGGCACUUCUUGAAUUCCAUCUGUUGGUGUCAAGGAGUUUAUAUGAUGACCAAGGUGGUAUUCAAGGUAUUAUCCAAAUAUUGGUCAUAAAUACACAAGGUUGAUCAAGACUAAGCAAAGAAUAAAUCAAGAUGAUCAUUGAUACGUCUCCAACGUAUCUAUAAUUUUUGAUGGUUUCAUGCUAUUAUCUUGUCAAACUUUGGAUGUUUUGUAUGACUUUUAUAUAUUUUUUGUGACUAACUUAUUAACUCGGUGCCAAGUGCCAGUUCCUGUUUUUCCAUGUUUUUGACCCCUUUCAGAGGAGAUUUUGAAACGGAGUCUAAACGGAAGAAAAUCCCCGAAAAGAUUUUUUCUGGAAUGGAAGAAGAUUGGGAAGCUUGGGAGCCAAGGCAGGGGAGCCUCAAGGGACCCACAAACCCCCACCCCGCGACCAGGGGGAGGAAGUGCCAUCCAAGCUUGUAGGCCCCGUGAGCGCCCCCUGACCUAGGGGUUGCGCCUAUAUAUUCCCUAAAAAUCCCAAAAAAAUCAGGAGAACAUCGAAAGUACUUUUCCGCCGCCGCAAGCUUCUGUCUCCGCAAGAUACCAUCUGGGGCACGUUUUGGUGCCCUACCGGAGGGGAUAUUCGGACACGGAGGGCUUCUUCAUCAACACCAUGACCUCUCCGAUGAUGCCUGAGUAGUUCACCAUAGACCUAUGGGUCCAUAGCUAGUAACUAGAUGGCUACUUCUCUCUCUUGGAUCUUCAAUACAAAGUUCCCCAUGAUCUUCAUGGAGAUCUAUCCGAUGUAAUCUUCUUUUGCGGUGUGUUUGUNGCGCGGUUCUAUCAACUGCUCGACAGUAAUUUGUUCACCCACCGUAAUACUUGCUAUUUUGAGAGAAGCCUCUAGUGAACACUAUGGCCCCCAGGGUCUACUCCACACCAUAUUUUUAGCCUUACACUUUUUACUUCGUUGCACUUUCCGCCUUCACAUCUCACUUUGCAAACAAUCUUGAAGGGAUUGACAACCCCUUUAAAGCGUUGGGUGCAAGCUUGUUUGUGUUUGCGCAGGUACUCUGAACUUGACGAGACCCUCCUUAUGGAUUGAUACCUUGGUUCUCAAAGUGAGGGAAAUACUUACUGCUCCUGUGCUGCAUCACCCUUUUUUCUUCAAGGGAAAAACCGACGCAAACCAGAGAAGUAACAAGAAGAAUUCCUAAGCGCCAAGGAAGGACUUUUGUUGCCGUAGCAGAAGAAUUUCUGGCACCAUUGCCGGGGAGGAAGAUCAAGUCAAAGACUUAUCCAAGUAGGUGUCGCAAACUCAUCUCUUGCAUUUACUUUGUUUGGCACUUGCCUCUCGUUUUCCUCUCCCCCACUUCACCAAUUUGCCUUUUUCGUUCGCCUUUUCGUUCGCCCUUUUUCUCGCCUGCUCUUUGUUUGCAUGUGUGCUUGCUUGCUGAAGUCACCAUGAACAAAAACACAAAACUUUGUGACUUCUCGAAUACUAAUAAUAAUGAUUUUAUUAGUACUCCGAUUGCUCCCGCCACUAGUGCGGAGUCAUACGAAAUCAAUGCCGCUUUGCUGAAUCUUGUUACGAAAGAGCAAUUCUCUCGCCUUCCUAGUGAAGAUGUCGCAUCCCAUCUCAAUACCUUCAUUGAGCUUUGCGAUAUGCAAAAGAAAAAAGAUGUGGAUAAUGACGUGAUUAAAUUGAAGCUUUUUCCUUUCUCGUUGCGAGAUCGCGCAAAAACUUGGUUUUCUUCUUUGCCCAAAAAUAGUAUCGAUUCUUGGGAUAAGUGCAAAGAUGCUUAUAUAUCCAAGUAUUUUCCGCCGGCUAAGAUUAUCUCUCUCCGUAAUGAUAUCAUGAAUUUCAAGCAACUUGAUCAUGAACAUGUUGCACAAUCUUGGGAGAGAAUGAAAUUAAUGAUUUGAAAUUGUCCCGCUCAUGGCUUGGGCCUUUGGAUGAUUAUUCAAAUCUUUUACGCUGGCUUGAAUUUCGCUUCUAGAAAUAUCUUGGACUCCGCUUCAGGUGGAACGUUCAUGGAAAUCACAUUAGGAGAAGCCACAAAACUCUUAGACAAGAUCAUGACAAACUACUCUCAGUGGCACACUGAAAGGUCACCUACUAGUAAGAAGGUACACGCUAUAGAAGAAAUUAACUCGUUGAGUGCUAAGAUGGAUGAGUUGAUGAAUUUGAUUGCUAGUAGAAGUGCUCCUUUAGAUCCUAAUGAUAUGCCCUAGUCUUCUUUGAUUGAGAGUAGCAACGCUAGCUUGGACGUUAAUUUUGUUGGUAGGAAUAACUUUGGAAACAACAAUGCUUUUAGAGGAAACUAUGUUCCUAGGCCUUUUCCUAGUAACUCCUCUAAUAAUUUUGGCAACUCCUACAACAAUACUCAUGGAAAUUAUAAUAGAUUACCCUCUGAUCUAGAGAGUAAUAUCAAAGAGUUCAUCAACUUGGAAAAAAAUUCAAUGCGUCCAUAGAGGAAAAGCUACUCAAAAUUGACGAUUUGGCUAAGAGCGUUGAUAGAAUGUCUAGUGAUGUUGAUGCUUUGAAAGUUAGAUGUGCUCCUCCCAAAAUCAACAUGGAUGAAACUUUGAAAGUUAUGUGUGUUUCCAUGGUUAAAAGCCAAGAAAGAACCGCCCAAAUUCGUGCUAGACAUGAAUGACUUAAAAAGGUGUGUUCUUGUGAUGAGAAUCACAAAGAUCUUAAAGUGCUUGGUGUGACUCCUAUUGAAUCUUUGUUUUCUUGUGUCAAACCUAAUGAUUAUGGGGCUGGAUAUGAAUCCACUUUGGUUGAAAAGUGCCCCAAAGAUUCAGAGUCCAUCUAUCUUGAUGCUAAAAGCAUUAAAAGUGGAGUAGAAGAUGUUAAAACUUUGAGUAGUAAUGAAAUUACUACUGUGGAUUUCAAGGAAUUCAAUUAUGAUAGUUGCUCCUUGAUUGAAUGCAUUUCUUUGAUGCAAUUCAUGUUAAACUCUCCACACGCUUAUGGCCAAAACAAAGCCUUUACCGAUCAUAUCGUCGAAGCCAUGAUAAAAUCUCUUGAAGGGAAACUUGAAUUGGAAGUCUCUAUCCCUAGAAAGCUUCAUGAUGAGUGGGAACCUACCAUCAAAAUCAAAAUCAAAAACUAUGAAUGCAAUGCUUCGUGUGAUUUGGGUGCUAGUGUUUCUGCGAUUCCAAAGGCUUUAUGUGAUGUUCUGGGUUUUAAUGAGAUUGAAGAGUGUUCUCUUAAUUUGCAUCUUGCUGAUUCUACUGUCAAGAAACCCAUGGGAAGGAUCAAUGAUGUUCCUAUUAUUGCAAAUAGGAACUAUGUACCCGUGGAUUUCAUUGUGCUUGACAUUGAUUGCAAUCCUACAUGCCCUAUUAUUCUUGGUAGACCUUUUCUAAGGACUAUCGGUGUUAUCAUCGAUAUGAAGGAAGGGAAUAUUAGAUUUCAAUUUCCUUUAAGGAAGGGCAUGGAACACUUUCCUAGAAAGAAAAUAAGAUUGCCUUAUGAAUACAUGAUGAGGGCCACUUAUGGUUUGAGCACCAAAGACAACGAUAUGUGAUUCUAUCGCUUUUAUGCCUAGCUAAGGGCGCUAAACAAUAGCGCUUGUUGGGAGGCAACCCAAUGAAUUUAUCUUUUUCUUUCUGUUUUGUUGCGUCCACACUUUCAUAAUUCUGUUGUGAUUGUGUUUUUUGUGUUUGAGCCAAGCAAAGCAUUUAUGACUAGUCUAGGUAAUGGUUGUUUGAUCCUGCUGGAAAAGACAGAAACUUUUCGAUCACGAGAUGAUUUUUCAUUUUUAUUCAGAAAUAGCUUUUUAGUUGAUUCUUUUUGCUUCUGAUUGAUAUGCUUUUUUCCAGGCCGUCGUAAUGUUUCAGAUUUUUUGAGGUAACAGAAGUAUACGAAGUAUACAGAUUGCUACAGACUGGUCUGUUUUUGUUGAGUUGGUUGCUUAUUUUGAUGAAACUAUUUUUAGUAUCGGGGGGUACUAGCCAUGGAAAAGUGAGAAUACAGUAGCCCAACACCAAUAUAGAUAGAAUUCAAGUUUGCUACAGUACAAAAAGAAGUGGUAGUUUGUUUUCUUGUGCUAAUGUUAUCACGAGUUUCUGUUUAAGUUUUGUGUUGUGAAGUUUUCAAGUUUUGGGUGAUGUUCUCAUGGACGAUGAGAUAAGGAGUGGAAAGAGCUCAAGCUUGGGGAUGCCCAAGGCAUAUCAAGCCAAAUUCAAGGACACCAAAAAGCCUAAGCUUGGGGAUGCCCCGGGAAGGCAUCCCCUCUUUCGUCUUCAAUCCAUCGGUAACAUUACUUGGAGCUAUAUUUUUAUUCACCACAUGAUAUGUGUUUUUCUUGGAGCGUCUUGUAUCUUAGGAGUCUUUCUUUUUGUUUUGUCACAAUCAUCCUUGCUGCACACCUUAUUGAGAGAGAGAGACAUGCACUCAUCGUGAUUUUGCUAGAAUGCUCAUAGUGCUUCACUUAUAUCUUUUGAGCUAGAUAUUUUUGCUCUGGUGCUUCACUUAUAUCUUUUGAGCUAGAUACUUUUGCUCUUGUGCUUCACUUAUAUCUUUAGAGAGCGGCGGUGCAUGAUUUGGUAGUUGGCUUAUGCUAUGAAAGUAGUCCCAAAUGUGAUAGGUACCCAAAGAGGAUACAAAAACCUCCAUCUUCAUGUGCAUUGAAUAGAAAGAGAAGUUUUGAUUCCUCUCAAUUAGUUUUGAGAUGUGGAUUCGGUAAUAUUAAGAGCUAUGUUAGUAGGGUGUUGUGAAUCUAGAAGUACUUGUGUUGAAGUUGGCAAUUCCCGUAGCAUGCACGUAUGGUGAACAGCUAUGUUAAGAAGUCGGAGCAUAAUUGAUAUAUUGAUUGUCAUCCUUUGUGUUGAGGUCGAGAUCGCGCGAUGGUUAACACCUACCAACCCUUCCCCUCGGAGUAGGUAUUUAGCACUUUGUUUCGAUUACUAAUAAAAACUUUCGCAACAAGUAUGUGACUUCUUCAUGACUAAUGUGAGUCCAUGGUAUAGAUGCACUUUCACCUUCCACCAUUGCUAGCCUCUCUAGUGCCGCGCAAUUCUCGCCGGUGCACAAACCCACCAUAUGCCUUCCUCAAAACAUCCACCAUACCUACCUACUAUGGCAUUUUCAUAGCCAUUCCGAGAUAUAAUGCCAUGCAACUCCCACCGUUCCGUCUCAUGACUUGUGCCAUCACUCUCAUAUUGUCAUUGCAUGAUUGUAAGAUAGCUAGCGACAUGUUUCAACGUCAUACGCCAUGCUAGAUCGUUGCGCAUCCCGGUACACUGCCGGAGGCAUUUCCUAUAGAGUCAUCAUCAUUUUGAGCUGUGAGUAAAUAAAAGUGUGAUGAUCAUCAUUAUUAGAGCAUUGUCCCAUGUGAGUAAAUAAAAAAAGAGGCCAAAGAGCCCAAAAAAAAGAGGUCUAAGAGCCCAAAUAAAAAAAGAGAAAAAGAGAGAAGGGACAAUGCUACUAUCUUUUUCCACACUUGUGCUUCAUGAUAGCACCAUGUUCUUCAUGAUUGAGAGCUUCUUACUUUGUCACUACCGCAUGCUAGUGGUAAUCUUCAUUAUAUAACUUGGCUUGUAUAUUCCAAUGAUGGGCUUCCUCAAAAUUGCCCUAGGUCUUCGUGAGCAAGCAAGUUGGUUGCACACCCACUAGUUCUACUUUUGAGCUUUCACAUACUUAUAGCUCUAGUGCAUCUCUUGUAUGGCAAUCCCUACUCAUUCACACUGAUAUCUAUUAAUGGGCAUCUCCAUAGCCUUUUGAUACGCCGAGUCAAUGAGACCACCUCCUCCUUUUUUGUCUCACAAACACAACCACACUCUAUUCCACCUAUAGUUCUAUAUCCAUGGCUCGCGCUCAUGUAUUGUGUGAUAGUUAUAAAAAAAUUAGAAAGUAAGAGUGCGAAAACAAUUACUUGGUUAAUACCGGGGUUGUGCAUGAUUUACACUAGUUGUGUGAGGAUGAUGGAGCAUAGCCAGACUAUAUGAUUUUGUAGGGGUAACUUUCAUUGGCCUUGUUAUUUUGAAAGUUCAUGAUUACCUUGCUAGUUUGCUUGAAGUAUUACUGUUUUCAUGUCAAUAGCAAACUAUUGUUUCGAAUCUUACGGAUCUGAACAUUCAUGCCACAUGAAAGAAGUUGCAAAGGAGAACUAUGAGAGGUAGCAUUCCACAUCAAAAAUUCAUUCUUUAUCACUUCCCUACUCGAGGACGAGCAGGAGUUAAGCUUGGGGAUGCUUGAUACGUCUCCAACGUAUCUAUAAUUUUUGAUGGUUUCAUGCUAUUAUCUUGUCAAACUUUGGAUGUUUUGUAUGCCUUUUAUAUAUUUUUUGGGACAAACUUAUUAACUCAGUGCCAAGUGCCAGUUCCUAUUUUUCCCAUGUUUUUGACACCUUUCAGAGGAGAUUUUGAAACAUAGUCCAAACGAAGAAAAUCCUCGAAAUGAUUUUUUUUGGAAUGGAAGAAGAUCGGGAAGCUUGGGAGCCAAGGCAGGGGAGCCUCAGGGGACCCACAAGCCCCCACCCCGCGACCAGGGGGAGGCCGCGCCAUCCAGGCUUGUGGGCCCCAUCAGCGCCCCCUGACCUAGGGGUUGCGCCUAUAUAUUCCCUAAAAAUCCCAAAAAAAUCAGGAGAUCAUCGAAAGUACUUUUCCGCCGCCGCAAGCUUCUGUCUCCGCAAGAUCCCAUCUAGGGCACGUUCUGGUGCCCUGCCGGAGGGGAGAUUCGGACACGGAGGGCUUCUUCAUCAACACCAUGACCUCUCCGAUGAUGCGUGAGUAGUUCACCAUAGACCUACGGGUCCAUAGCUAGUAACUAGAUGGCUUCUUCUCUCUCUUGGAUCUUCAAUACAAAGUCCUCCAUGAUCUUCAUGGAGAUCUAUCCGAUGUAAUCUUAUUUUGCGGUGUGUUUGUNGCGCGGUUCUAUCAACUACUCGAUAGUAAUUUGUUCACCCACCGUAAUACUUGCUAUUUUGAGAGAAGCCUCUAGUGAACACUAUGGCCCCUAGGGUCUACUGCACACCAUAUUUUCAGCCUUACACUUUUUACUUCGUUGCACUUUCCGCCUUCAGAUCUCACUUUGCAAACAAUCUUGAAGGGAUUGACAACCCCUUUGAAGCGUUGGGUGCAAGCUUGUUUGUGUUUGCGCAGGUACUCUGGACUUGACGAGGCCCUCCUUCUGGAUCGAUACCUUGGUUCUCAAACUGAGGGAAAUACUUACUACUCCUGUGCUGCAUCUCCCUUUCCUCCUCAAGGGAAAAACUGACGCAAACCAGAGAAGUAACAAGAAGAAUUCCUAGGCGCCAAGGAAGGACUUUUGUUGCCGUAGCAAUCAUCACACAAAGUGUACAAGAUGUACCGAGAGGGAUCAAGUGAUCCCAUGGUAUGGUAAGAAUUGUCCAUAAUGCUUUUGUGUACUAGCCCAUGGUCCUUGUGAGAGUUCUAUGUGGGGUUAGGUGUGUCUCCAUGUGUUUGCGUCAAGAGGAAGAUCUCAUUCAACCUAUGAAGGAUGUCAUCAAGUGGUGAUCGUCAUCAAGAUUGCGGUGUGCAAGUUCAAGUGGAGCAUCAUGAAGAUAUCAUGCUUGAAGCUUUCCGUCCAUUGUGGUGGCAACGGACUUGUGAAGAUGUGCUGAAGAGUGGCUCACCCGUAGUUAGUAUGGGGGAGCAAUCAAUUGUCUUCAUCAAACCAAGGCAAUGAAGAAAGGUGGUCCAUCUUGAGUAAGCCAAGAUCAUCAUCGUCUAGCUCAAGAGGACCAGGUGCAAGGUAUAGGUUUGCCCUUGAUAGGUUUUCUAUUUCAGGAUAGAUUGUCGUACUGUCAAGGUUGGCUCUCAAGUGAGUAGCUUGAUCGCAUCGUUCAUUGAGAGCUUAAACAAUUUGCAUCCGUGCAUCAUACUUCUUGGUUUUUGUUUGGUGUUUCUCUUUGUUAGUUUCAGAUCUUAUGGUCAUCUUCAUGACAAGCUCGAGUUCAUCGAAAACGGAGUCCAUAUGCAUCUUCUAUGAUGUUUUCGAUGUCGGAAGUUUUUACCGGUCUUAUUCGAGGAAGGGUUCUCACCAUUUUCUCAUGGGCCUUUUCUCCCUUGCUUCUUAUUGAUAUUUCUAUCAAGAUUGGGUUAACCCAUGUCAUUAGCUUUCUAACAAACUUAGUUUCAUUGAAUUCAGAGUCGGUAUGCGAAAGUUAAGGCAGUUUCUGUGGCGAAUAGUAGUACCGUUUGUGCCGAGCGGUCGUACCGCUCCGUCGGACUUAAUUUGCGCAUCCUUUUUGCCUCGGCAUGGCUGGUGAACCUCCCGAGCGGUAGUACCGCUCCGUCGAACUUUAUUUGCGCAUCCUUUUUGCCUCAGCGUGGCUGGUGAACCUACCGAGCGGUAGUACCGCUCUCUGCGGGUUGUGAAGCAUAACGGUUGGAUUUUUCCUCACCUAUAAAAGGGGGCCUUCUUCCCCAUUGAACCUUAUCUCUUCAGCUUGUGUUCUUCCCCCAUUCUUAACCUUCUUCGAGCUUGCUAACUCUCAAUCCCUCCAAUGAUUCUUGCUAGUUCUUGAGGGAAAAGAGAGAGGAGAUCUAGAUCCACAUUUCCACCAAUCACUUUCUCCUCUAAGUGAGGGGAACCCUUUGGGUAUAGAUCUUGGAGUUCUUCGUGUUCUUCUUUGUUCUUCCUCUCAUUUUCCUCCCUAGCAUUAGUUGCUUUGGUGGGAUUUGGGAGAGAAGGACUUGGGCACUCCGUGUGCCCUUUUCAUUGCAUUUGAUGCAUCGGUUUGAGUUCUCCACGGUGAUACCUGGAAGUGAGAAGUUGAGAAGCUUAUUACCCUUGGGUACUUGGUACCCCUAGAAGCUUGGUGGUGCAUCGGAGCUCAGCCAUUGUGGUGUAAAGCUCCGGGCAAGCGUCGGGGUCUCCAGUUAAGUUGUGGAGAUUGCCCCGAGCAUGUGUGAUCACCUCGAACCCAUAUGCCAUUGUGGUGAAGCUUCGUGGUGUUGUUGGGAGCCUCCAAUUAAGUUGUGGAGAUUGCUCCAAUCUUGUUUGUACGGGUUCAGUGACCGCCCUCAAGGGUCCCUUAGUGGAAUCAUGACAUCUUGCAUUGUGCAAGGGCGUGAGGAGAUUACGGUGGCCUUAGUGGCAUCUUGGGGAGCAUUGUGCCUCCACACCGCUCCAACGGAGAUUAGCAUCUGCAAGGGUGUGAACUUAGGGAUACAUCAUCGUCUCUGCGUGCCUCGGUUAUCUCUUACCCGAACCCUUUACUUAUGCACUUUACUUUGUGAUAGCCAUAUUGUUUCUUGUCAAAUAUCUUGUUAUCACUUAGUUGUUUAUCUUGCUUAGCAUAAGUUGUUGGUGCACAGAGUUGAGCCUAGUUGUUUUAGGUUUUGUGCUUGACAAAUUAAACGUUAGUUUUAUUCCGCAUUUGUUCAAGCCUAAACCGUAAUUAUUUUAAAGCGCCUAUUCCCCCCCCCCCCCUCUAGGCGACAUCCACGUCCUUUCAGCUCGCAAGGGACCAACCCAGCGCUCCCGUAACCGAUCAUCGCCAGGACUCCACCCCGAACCGGACUACCACCGCCUGCGCUCGCCAGGACUUCUUUCCGCGAGUAGAUAGCCCAGGGACCCCGAUCCCGUGCCCCGACGUUUCCCUGUUGCCGCAGAAUCGCACCUCUCCGAUUCGUUCUAUCGCCGAGACCUCAGCAUGACGUCGUCGUCGCCGGAGUAGUCCCUGUCGUCAGAGUCCGCCCAGCCAUCACCGUCGUUGGAGCAUCACCGCAGCAGCUUCGCCAGAGUCAGCAGCUUCACCGGAGGAGCUAAGCCUGAGACCGAAGCCACAUGUUUUUCCAUGUUUCUCAUGGUGAGCACGUGAGCGAUCCGAUUCAGCCAGUCUUGACACACACGGGGCAGUUGCUACAGUACCCGAUUAACCCGCAUUUUUUUUUUCUGUUUUAGCUCAGACAGGUUCUCGAUAAUGUGUUCAAACGUGUUUAACUUGAGUUGGACCAGAUUUAGUUUAAACUUAUCGGAGGCCAUAUUUUUCAAACUGUUCGUCCAAACUAAUUGUUUCUUUUUGCUUUAUGACUGUAUCAGCAUGUAGAUGAUUUAUAUCUGUUGUCAUGCUACUUUUGUUUUGGUUUUACAAAACUGUUUUCUUGUUGUUGGUUUUUAUUUGGUGUUAUAUGAAUGUGGUGAUUGAUUGUUGUCAUUGUUUGAAACGUGUAGAUUGCCGGAGUGUGACGCAAACUAUUGUCAGGAGUGUGAUCUUUUGAACCAGAAUCAAGGCAAGUUACAUGUUGAUCAUCCUUCACCUAUUAUUUUUCUAUGCAUGUAGUAUUAUAUCACCCUAUGAAAUUAUGCAUGUAUAGGAAUAUAGUUAUUAUGCUAUGCUAUUAAGCUAUCCCCUCGGCAUUGAAGAUCUUGGUAUUUGUAGAUUGCUAUGCUUUGUAGACGGGCUUGGUUCCUGUAUUCACUGAGUUUAUGUGAGGAUUACUAUGAAAUAAAUUGAGUAGUAAUUAAGGAUAUAAUACACCUCUGGGAGGAUAUGGUAUUGUUGGGUGGUUUCAAGAACAUCAUGGUUUCGACCCUCUGAAUGUAAGCGGAAUGUCGCCCAGGUUCAAAAAGAUCAGACAGACUUAGUGACUAGUAGCUUCCAUGUGCGACCACUGGCUGUAUGGGCUCUGGCUUAGUUGAUCAGUUGUGGGAACAUUACCCGAAUGUGCCAGUAGAUGUAGUUAUGGUAGUUGGGAUGGGCCUCCUAUGGGACUAGGUGACUGCAUCAAGGGGCAUCUCCACAUAAGCCUUUAGCCAUAGGAUCGGGGUCCCUAGGCUAUUGUAAGUGCAUCUAGUGCCCCUUAGUGAUUUUGGUGGUUUGAAGACUUAUAGGUUAGCUAUCUAAUGUGUUCAUGAGUGUACACAGGAUCUAUAAGUCGCUGAGGAGUUUGAAAUAUUCGAUGAAUAUCGACCCCUAAAAAUGUAUAUCUUCGGCUGAAGAAAUUGGUCUGAAGCUGAAGAAUUGAAUUGUGAAGAAAUUGCGAUGAAAUUGAUAUUCCUCAUGAAGAAAUUGAAGAUUAGGAAUUCGGUGUGUCCUGAAGAAAAACAACCUGAAGAUUUUGAAGCAUGAAGAUUUAUUCUCUCUAUUUUAUUUUCUUCACCUUUGAGUCAUAGGAACACCGUACUGUUAAAGGGGGUCAAAGUAACACGUCAGAAUGAAUUUCCUCAUGAUGCUCAACCCAAGCCUAAUCCUACCAAAAGCCUCAAGUGAGAAAUAUGAGAGACAUGAGGACUCUCACAGUUGAGGGUCCCGACCGUUACCGCAAGUCGCGCCACAUCACUGAUCUUAUCCACACCAACGGUCAUAUUAUUUAAGGGCAUUAAGGUAAAAUCAUGUCGGGAUGCUCCCAGGCUAUAAAUAGCCACCCCCACAACCAUUAGCUGGUUGGCUGCUCCGUUGGAAACUGACACUUGUCAUAAGAGCAACCCAAAUUCCUCAGAGUCUUCAAGAGUAAUUCAUCAGUGAGGAAAUACCCCAAACACCAAACCACAAACCGAAAACCAAGUGAUUGAGCAUCACUGAAGAAGUUGUUCCUAUGUGGGACUGAAGCCUUUUACCUUUGAGGACUAUGCAUCCUCUAGACGGUUAGGCGUCAUGGUCUAGAGCAAUCCAGCACUCAAUUGUGGAUCGCCAAGUGACCAAGUUUGUGAGGGUUUGGAAGUCUGUCCUGAAGACUUACCACGAGUGUUGGGCGAGGACUCUGUGUUCUUAGCCCAAUGAGAAUACGGUAGGGACUGUGUGUCCCAGGAUUGUGUGUCUUUUGGUUUCAAUACCAAGCCGCUCCAAACCAGAUGUAAAAUUGUCACAGAAGUUGGAACUGGAUCAUCAACCACUGUCUUCACUGUGAAACGGGUUCUAUUUCUUCAACUCUUUAAAUUCCUCAUACUGUAUGUUGAUGAUUUUCACUGUCACUGUUUGAAGAAUUUGCUGAAGACUUUCUCUGAAAUUCCUCAACCCCAACUUCUUCACGCGAGUUAAUCCUCAUCUGUUUUCUCCGUGCCUGCAUACCGUGCAAACUAUUUUUCAUAUUCUUCACCUUGAAAACUGUUGUAGUGAUACUUUGCACUCCUGAUCCUUUGUUGUUUCCGCUGCAAGUUAGUCAUUAGUGAGGAAUUUCCUCAAACGGAAUUUCCUCAGUGAUGAAAUUCUAAAAAUCUCCUAUUCACCCCCCCCCUCUAGUCGAUAUAACGCACUUUCAAUUGGUAUCAGAGCAAGGUACUCCCUUGUUCUGUGUGAUUUUGGUUUAACCACCUGGAGUUUUAGUUAUGUCGACUACAAACAUGAUCUAGGUUACUGCGGGAUGUCCUACUUUCGAAGGAAAGGACUUUCCCUUCUGGAAGACCGAGAUGCAAAUGCAUCUACAAGCUAUUGACAAUGAUCUCUGGUAUAUUGUGGAACACGGUGUCCCUAUCGUCGCUGCUACUAUCUCUGCCGCUGAUGUGAAGAAAUUCAAGCAACUUGAUUCUCAAACGAAGAAUAUCAUCUGUGGCCAUCUGAGCAAGGGCCAGUAUGGCAGAGUGAGUGCUUUGGGCUCAGCAAAACUUAUCUGGGAAAGGUUGUCCAAAGUUAAUGAAGGAGUAUCAACCCAGCGUGAUUCUCGUGUUGAUGUUCUUCACAAUCUCUUCAAUUGCUUCAAGAGACUUAACAAUGAAAGCUGCCAAGAUACCUUUGAUCGCCUCAGUGACAUAUCAAAUGAACUGGAAGCACUGGGAGCUCGAGACAUUACUGACCAUGAAGUUGUGAAGAAACUGGUAAGAUCUUUGGAUUCUUCAUUUGAUACUUUAGUUCUGAUGAUUCAAGAAAGACUAGACUACAAGAUGCUUGAUCCAGCUGAUAUACUCGAAAGACUCAAUACUCAUGAAUUCCAACAAGAAGAAAAGAGAGAUCUAUAUGGACCAAGCUAUUCUAGACCACGUGCACUGAAGGCCAAAGCAAUUUCCUCAUCUGAAGAAGAAGUCUCGGAUGGUAGCAUUGGUGAUCCUGAAGAAUUUGGACAGGAGCUUGCAAUGCUCAUGAGGAAAUUCCAGAAGUUUACACGACGUGGCCAGUUUGGUAAAUCUUCAAUAAGAGAUAUGAGGAAAUCAGAAUCUUCAUCUGAGGACUACAAGAAAAGAACCUGCCACAAAUGCAAGAAAUCGGGUCACUACAUUGCUGAUUGUCCUCGUUGGGGAAAGGAAUCAAAGAAGAAGAAAUACAAGGAUGAAAGUUAUGAUGACUCGAAGAAAAAGAAGAAAUCUUCAAAAUCCUCAUCUUCAAAGUCCUCAUCGCACAAGAAGACUAUUUUCAGAAAGGCUGGGGCACUUAUUGGCAAGGAAAUGGAUUCUGAGGCAGAAUCCGAGGAAUGUGAUGAAGAGGAGGGUUAUGAUGAAGACUCAGAAUCUGGACAGGCUAGCCUUGCACUUGCAACCACAUUUGUCAGCAAGUCAAUCUUCAACCUUGAAGAAAAUGAUAACACCAUCCACAUUGAUGACUAUGCUGAUGACUUCGCUCCAACCUAUUGCUUCAUGGCAAAAGGUUUAAAGGUACCGAAUGAUGCUUCCUCCUCUGAUUCAAGUGACUAUGAACCUGAUGAUUAUAAAAAACCCAGUUACAGUAAACUUGCUAUCAUUGCCACUAAACAACAAACUGCCCUGGAAAAGCUUCAGAAACUGCUAGACGGAAGUGAUGAUCUGUUGAAUGAUGAAAUGAAUCUUACCCAAAUCCUCACUGAAGAUAUGAAAAGUCUUUAGUCCAGAUUUGAUAAUCUUCAAGAUCGUCAUGUUACACUCCUUGCUGAUCAUGAGAAACUUUCCUAUGAAUUUCUUCAAAGGAAGCUUGAUCUUGAGAAGCUAAGGAUUUCUCAUGACGAUCUUCGUAUGGAAAAUGAUUCAUUACUAGCUCAACAGAUCAGUGCUGCUCAAGCUGAAUUCAUUCCUCCAUGUCUUAAAUGCAUCGAAUGUGAAACUGCUAAUUCUUCACCAGAAUCAUCAAAUGCUUCUAUUGCUACAAAUUCUUCAACUGCCCCUGUAGUGUCAAAUUCCUCACUUGAGGAAACCACAAAUGUCACUGAUGAAAAUGCUGGGCUGAAGGAAUUGUAUGUGACAGGCAUAUACAAAAGUCUCAAAGGACACCAAACCCUUUGUGAUGUGCUCAAAAAGCAGAUCUUGAACAGGAACCCGAGGAAAGAAGGAAUUGCCUUUGAGAGGAAAUUGAAUGCUGAUGGAUCAUACUGGAAACCUGAGCAGUAUCCCAAAACCUCAUGGGUUGCUUCUACUGGGCCUCCUUUUGAUCCAUCCAAUCUAACAGGCUUUUCAUGUGAUAUAUCCUAUUCCUCAGAUGAGUCAUUUGACUCCAACUAUAAACUGUUCAAAAAUCAAUCUGGUGAAGUAUUUGCUCGAUAUGUUGGAACUAACUGCAGGAAUGGGCCUCUCCUGAGGAAGAUCUGGGUUCCCAAAAGUUGCCUUGAAAAUCUUCAGGUGAAUGUACUCAUGACACCACCUAUGAAGAAUUUGAACCGCAGAUCAAAUUCCUCAGGAGGACCAAAGUCUUCAAGAGGAUCAAAAUCUUCAACUGGUCAAAACUAUGCUCGUACCCGUGCUAAUGCUUCUAACAUGCAGGGAAAUUACAAGGAAUAUGAAUAUGAGUGUUAUUCUUCAAAUCAUUAUGUUCAUAAAUCCUCAAAUAAGUUCUCUACAUAUUCAUUUGAGUACUUUAACCCCCCUACUGUUAAGAGAAGUGCAUUAGCUUCAAUGCCCCCUUUCUCAUAUGGUGCUCGCAGAAUGAUGAAUGCUUUACCACCCCUUCAGAUGUGGGUGGUGAAGAAAUUGAACUAAUCACUUCUGCAGGUCAGGUCUCUAGAUGAAAAUCGUCAUGUGAAGAAUUUGCUGGAAACCUGAGGAAAACGCUUGAUGGGACGCAAGCUAAUAUUUAUGAAAUAGAAAUAUUUCACACGUCCUUAUAAUUCUAUUUAUGAUGAAAUUCCUAUCUGAUGAAAUUGAUAUCAUAUUCUUCAAGUCCGAAGCAUAUGAGAUGGUAAACUGUACUAAUUCAUCUGCAGGAUGACAAACCCAAGAGUACUGAGUGGGUUCUUGAUAGUGGCUGCACACACCACAUGACUGGUGACCAAAGCUUGUUGAUGAAUAUGCCACUAACUCCAUCACCCCUGAAGCAAAUCACAUAUGCUGACAAAGGUAAAAGCAAGCUAUUGGGACUUGGCAAAGUGGCUAUUUCCAAGGAUAGGCACAUGGACAAAGUAAUGCUUGUUGCAUCCCUUGGAUUUAACCUCAUUUCAGUCUCAAUGCUUUGUGAUCUUGAUAUGAUUGUUAUCUUUGGAAGAUAUAGAUGUGUUGUCAUCAUGGAAUCUGAUAGAUCCAAAGUCUUCGAAGGUGUUAGAAGAGGGGAUUGUACAUUGUUGAUUUCUCUACAGGUCCUCAACCAGCCACUUGCUUACUAGCAAAAACCUUAGAAGGGUGGUUGUGGCAUCGAAGACUUGGUCAUGCAGGCAUGAGGAAUUUGCACACGCUCGCGGAGAAGAAGCAUGUCAUCGGCACCGAAUCAGUCAAAUUCCUCAAGGACCACCUCUACGGUGCUUGUGAGUCUGGGAAAAUGACCAGAUCCAAGCACCCCUCGAAGACUAUCAUGACUAGUACUCGUCCAUUUGAAUUGAUUCACAUGGAUCUAUUUGGACCUACUCAUUAUGCCACCCUAACAAAUGCAGCAUCUUUAUAUGGCUUUGUCAUAGUUGAUGAUUAUUCUAGAUACACAUGGGUGCAUAUCAUUUUAUAUAAAACUGAAGUGCAGGAAGUCUUCAAACGAUUUUCCUCAAGGGCCUCGACGAACUUCGGCGUCAAGAUCAAACACAUCAGGAGUGAUAAUGUAACAGAGUUUAAAAAUACUAGUCUUGAUAAUUAUCUUGAUGAACUUGGUAUUACUCACGAAUUGUCUGCUCCUUAUACUCCUCAACAUAAUGGCGUCUUCGAAAGGAAGAACGGGACUCUGGUUGAGAUGGCAAGAACCAUGCUUGAAGAAUAUCAAACUCCUCGUCGCUUUUGGCCUGAAGCAAUUAACAUUGCAUGCCAUAUCAUCAACAGGGUAUAUCUUCACAAAUUCCUCAAGAAAACCUCAUAUGAACUCCUCACACACAAGAAACCCAAUGUAAGUUAUUUCAAAGUCUUCGGUGCAAAAUGCUAGAUUAGAGAUCCUCACCAUAGCUCAAAGUUUGCACCUAAGGCACAUGAGGGUUUUAUGCUCGGUUAUGGAAAGGACUCACACACCUACAGAGUCUUCAACACCUAUCACAACAAAGCUGUUGAGACUGUAGAUGUGCAGUUCGAUGAAACUAAUGGCUCGCAAAGAGAGCAAUUGCCUCCUGGUCCAGAUAAGUUGUCUCCUGAGGAAGCAAUAAAGCUCAAAGCUACUGAAGACAUUGUUCCUACUGAGGAAAUUGAUGAAGAGAUCAUUCCCAGCACUGAUGAAAAUCAAGAAGAUGCUCCUGAGAAAAUAGCUCCUGAACCAAUUCCUCAGCCCAGACGAAAUCCUCAACCAGCUCAUCCGAGGAUUGCAAAUGAAGUGGAACUUGAAAAAAUCCUCAAUGACAUCAACGCGUCAGGUCCUCUCACUCGCUCAAAGCUUCACACUUAGUUAACUUUUGUAGGCAUUUCUCCUUUGUGUCUAUCACAGAACCUUCAAAAGUUGCUGAGGCUUUCAUGGAACCGGAGUGGAUCCAAGCCAUGCAAGACGAACUUCUUCAAUUCAAGUUGAAUGACGUAUGGGAGCUCGUCAAACGACCAGAUCCUCGCAAGCACAAUAUCAUCGGCACCAAGUGGAUUUUCCGAAACAAGCAAGAUGAGGAUGGUCAAGUGGUGAGGAAUAAGGCGCGACUUGUAGCCCAAGGCUACACACAGGUUGAAGGAAUUGAUUUCGAUAAAACUUUUGCACCUGUUGCUAGACUUGAAGCUAUUCGAAUAAUACUUUCUUAUGCUAAUCAUCAUAACAUUAUCUUAUAUCAAAUGGAUGUGAAAAGUGCAUUCCUCAAUGGUAAGCUUGAGGAAGAAGUAUAUGUUGCUCAGCCCCCAGGUUUUGAGGAUCCAAAGAAUCCACACAAAGUCUUCAGACUCAAAAAGGCACUCUAUGGUCUCAAGCAAGCCCCUCGGGCGUGGUAUGAUACAUUGAAGGAAUUCCUCAUGAAGAAAGGCUUCAAACCUGGUUCACUCGAUCCAACUCUUUUCACUAAAUCCUAUGAUAAUGAACUAUUUGUGUGCCAGAUAUAUGGCGAUGACAUCAUAUUUGGCUGUACUAACAAACGUUACAGUGAUGAAUUUGCUUACAUGAUGAGUGAAGAAUAUCACAUGUCUAUGAUGGGGGAGCUGAAAUUCUUCUUAUGUAUUCAAAUUCGUCAACAACGCAAUGGAAUCUUCAUAUCACAGGAGAAAUACCUCAAGGAUGUUCUGAGGAAAUUCGACAUGUAUGAAUGCAAAGGUGCCAAGACUCCAAUGCCUACCAACGACCACCUCUGCACUGACGAAAAUGGUAAAGAAUUCGAUCAGCAGGUAUAUCUCCCCAUGAUUAGCUCUUUACUGUAUUUGUGUGCAUCUAGGCCAGAUAUAAUGCUUAGUGUUUGCAUGUGUGCACGUUUUCAAGCAAAACCGAAGGAAUCACACCAUAAGGCUGUGAAGCAUAUUCUUCGAUACUUAGCUCACACACCAACACUAGGAUUAUGGUACCCCAAGGGCUCAAAUCUUCAUCUUGUGGGAUAUUCUGAUUCUGACUAUGCUGGUGACCGUCUGGAUCGCAAGUCAACCUCCGGCACAUGUCAUUUCCUCGGAAGAUCACUAGUGUGCUGGUCCUCAAAGAAGCAAAACUGUGUUUCACUCUCCACUGCCGAAGCUGAGUACAUUGUUGCUGGUUCAUGAUGUGCUCAAUUACUAUGGAUGAAGCAAACCCUCAAGGACUACGGCAUCAACAUGAAGAAUGUGCCUCUCUACUGCGACAAUGAGAGUGCAAUCAAGAUUGCAUACAACCCAGUACAUCACUCGAAGACUAAGCACAUCCAGAUUCGUCACCAUUUUCUUUGGGACCAUGUCCUCAAGGGCAAUAUCCUCAUCGACCAUGUGAAGACUGACGAUCAACUCGCAGAUAUCUUCACUAAGCCCUUGGAUGAGAAAAGGUUUUGCAAGUUGCGGUGUGAGCUAAAUAUCUUAGAAUCUUCAAAUGUUUUGUAAAAACAUGCACACAUCCUAACACUUAUGAAUAAUUGAUGACUUAGAUGUGCAACACACGAAGAAUCGAUUUUAUUCAACCAAUGAAGAAUAUCACUCUUAGUGUGCGGAAAUCAACGAAGAAAUUGAUUCUCAAGGCCCUACGACAAUUGUACGCAGCGUCUGAAAUCAACAUUCUUAUAUGGUGGGUCACGCCACCAUCCAACUUGAAAUUCCUCAAGUUGAAUUUCUUCAAAGUUGAUUUUCUUCAAAGCAGUUGUUCUUCAAACUUGUCUUUCUUCAAAACUGAAAUUCAUCAUCACGACGCUUUGUCACAAAAUCCUCAAGUUAAUCAAAAUCUUCAAAAACACUUGAUGAUUUUCAUUUGCCUAGAUAUAUAUAUAGACUGUGAUUUCAAAGUCCUCAACAGCAUUCACUUAUAGCUAUUUCUUCAAUUUGAUAUUUCAUCUAAGUGAAUGUGAUCGGACCCUACUUUCCCUCCAUGCUACUCUCACCCAGUCUAUUCAAUUCUUCAUAUGCGUUCUACUUGAAACUUUGUUCAAAAUCCUCACCGCGUCCUUGUCAGCUGAUGAUUUUGUAACAAAAUCCUCAGAUCUUCAAAAAUGAUUUUUAUAUUGUUACACAGUAACUGAACCCCACUUCCCACGAUCACCUAAGCACGAUCUCCACCGCUUUAAACGGUUGUUACACGUGUCAUGCGGAGACGAAAGGACAGGGGUAGUUCGGUCCGAAAGAAUCGGCCAGACAGUUUUCACCUGGGCUAUAAAUAUGUCCUUAGCCCCCUCGGUCAAAACUCUUCGCUCUCUCUCUCUCGACCUCCUCUCCGCUACACCAAAGCCCUAGCGCCACCGCUAGAAGUCUCGUCGCCGGCGAGGAAAAGAUUGACUGUCUCGACCUCUCCGUCGCCGAAAUAACGUCAGAACCAGAUCAUCUUCGUCCGCCGCCGCCGUAGUUGUCCUCUGUUGCCGAGUUAGGGCGCAGUGGACUCCUACCGAAGAGCAUCUACUGCUACUUCUUUCUCUGUUCUUCGUGAGCGCUAUAUAGGGUAAAUAAAAACCCUAUUUUUACAGCCCUUUCGAUCUACUAUUUUACGUAGAUUUGUGAAACCUGUUUUUCCUCAAGUGUCCAUCAGUCUCUAUUCCUCAAACACUGCUUAUUCCUCAACCCACUGGUUAAAUUCCUCAACUUUAAAAAAAAUCAUUUCAUCAAAUCUGAGAACGCAUAUGACCUCUCCAAAUUUCUCGCAACUAUACUCUAUUCACACGUACAAAAAUGUCAGCUGAUGAAUCUCUAGGUUCUGAUCAACUUAACUCAUUUGCAGCGUUUCUUGAAGAAAAUCUGCAAGUUUCAUCGGAAUCCUCAAGAGUUCAUUUUCCUCAGCAAAAGCCUCAGCUGAAGAAAAUGGAAGAUGAAAGGAAGCAAAAGGGUGGCAAGAAUCUUGAACAGAACACAGCCAUCGAUAUUCCUGAGGACAUAUACCUCGAAUACUGUACACCUGAUGAGCAAGAGACAAUUCCCAAGAGGAAGAUAAGGCUUCAGAAGAUAGAACGCCGGUGGGCUAAGGAGUGGAAAGAAUACAGAUUCGUCACUCCCAAGUACGCGAAGAAAUUCGCUCUUAAGCCUCCUGGCAAACGGCCUCCUCUUGAGGAUUAUCAGGAUGCACACCCCUCAAGCCUCAAGACAAUUGAUGACUAUCCUGAGGAAAAGACAAAACAUUUGUCAAAGCUUCAGAAGCAGGCAGAAGCUGUUGUGAGGAAAUUUAAUGAAGAAUCUGUUGCUGCUGCUACUGCCGCCACCUCCUCUGCAGCUGAAACUUCUGGCACAGCCAUUCCUCAAAUGAAGUCGGUGCCACCAAAACCAAAGGCUUCAAAGCCUCGGGAGAAAAUGCUUCCGAAAGCUGCACCAGCAUCCGCACCAAAACUCUCAGCACCACCAAAGGCUUCAAAGCUUGAACACAAGCAGAUUGUGAAGCAACUGCCUACUGUCUCUAGCUCCUCUGUUCCUUCUGCAACAAGCUCUGAGACAAAGUCUUCACCAACUCCAAUGAAGACUAAGGUGACUGCUGGGAGAGGAACCAGACCAAGCCCUGGCUAAAUCAUCAAAGUCCCUUCUGCAUCAGAAGGCAGUGAUGAAUAUGAUGAUGAGACUCUGCAAGCCAUCAUCAGAAACAAGCAGGAGAGGGUAGCACAAGCUUCAGGCAGCGCCAUUCCUCUGGCCAUGGACCCAAAAGUCCUCUUGGAUUACAUCAACAUAUGGUAUGAGGACCCCAACACUCCUAUUGAUGAUUUGAAGCUUCCUCCAGGCAUCAGCCACAUGGUGGCCACUUUCAUCAAUGAGGCCAAGUGGAAGGAGACACAAGCCAAACAAGCUAAGGCUGCGAAGCUCAAAAAAGGAGAAAUUCCUCAGACAGAAUCUCCUCAACUUGACGCCUGAUGCACUUGUGUCCACUCAGGCAGAAUUGAAGACUUUGACUGACAAGUACACCAAGCUCUCUGAUCGUCAAAGUCUCAAGAACAAUUUCAUCAAAUUUGCUACAGAUGCAGUUGAUAAUUACAACAAGAAGGCUGCCCCUCCAGCAACAACACAACAGCCUGAGAUUGAGGAACCACAAACUGCCCCUGCUGAGGAAAUCCCUCAAGAAAGUCGUGCUGAUGAACCGGCUAUUGAGGAAAUAACCAAGGAAACUCCAACUGAUGACUCUGCUCCAACUGAUGAAACUGCUCCAGCUGAUGCAUCUAAGCCAGCUGAUGACUCUGUUCCAGCUGAAGAAACUGCUUCAGCUAAGGAAAGUGCCAGGACGGAUGUGUCUCCGCCUCCUGAAGAGAAAAUGUCUUCACCAAAAUCUUCAAAUGUGAAGAAAAUGACUCCGUCUGCAUCAGACGUGAAGAAGACGAGCUGCUGAAAAGGAAGCUAAAAAGAGAAAAGCUUCCUCAACAGAAGAAUCAACUAAGACCAAGCGCCUCAAAUCUCUUGAUGAAAAUGGUCCUCUGGAGCAUGUGCCUCUCAACAUUGCUCCAUCUUAUGAGAUGACUCCCUUCGAAAGCAAAGACAAGGAGCACUUGACUGAUCAGGAAAUGAAGAAUGCUGCGUCUGAGGAACACACUGAUGAGGAAAUUCAGAUUGAUGACGGUCCUCAGACCUUCAUUCCUCCUGAAGAACCUGCUCAAGGAUCAGCUGAACCAGUUGAUGAAUUUGGCUCCUCCACCAAGCAAACCCCUCAAGCUGAGGAAAAUCAAGGAGAAAAUCUUCAGCCUGAAGAAAAUCCAAAUCUUGAGCAAAACCCUCAACCUGAGGCUCAGGAUGAAGAUAUUCCUCCUCCUGAGCAAAAUCCUCAACCAGAGGCUCAAGUUGAUGACAUUCCUCAACCAGAGAAAGAUCCUCAACCUGAAGCACAAGCAGAAGAAAUUCCUCAUCCUGAGGAACAUGCUGAAGAAAAUGCCCCUGCACCAAAUCCAGAGAAUGCUCUAGUCGUUAUCAAUCCAGAAACUGCGAUGAUUGUCUCCCCUCAAGGGAAGAAGCAAAACCUUCAGCCGAAGCAACGUCAGCCAUUCUCCAAGCGGCCAAAGUUUCAAAAGGAAUCCUUCUUUGAGGAACGCAUGUAUCUCAUCGAAGAAAAUCCUUAUGAAAAGCCUCGCAUCAGGCACCUGAAGUUCUGGACCAGGACUCAGCUCAACUACUAUGCAUCCGUGAUGUGUGGAAGAAACAAGAUUUUUCAGCACAGGCAUAUUCCUCGUGUUGAGCUUGAACAAAUCCCGGGCUUUGCCCCAGUCCUCAACGUUCUUCAUGAAGCAGGACUGCUCCCUAUGUGCUCUGAUAUUUGUGAUUGGAAUAGUGACGUUGUUCUUCAAUUCUAUGCAACUCUACACAUCUCUGGAGAUCCAUCAGAUAUCAACACUUGGGUGCUGGAUUGGAUGACGCAGCACACACACUUCAAGGCCCCUACGAAUGAGCUGCUGCGAGAACUUCCUGUGUCAAUUCCUUCAGAGCAGGCUAUGAAGAUGUAUGAUGAACGGGAGCUGCCGAAUAAGCUGAUGGAAGUCCUCAUGAAGCCUUUGGCCAAGGGGCAACCACCAAGAACAACCUUCUUGGUCCAUGAGCUGAAGUAUGAACCCAGGACUGUUUACAGAAUCCUGUGUAGUAUUCUUGCGCCAAUCAAGGGUCAUGAUGAUGAAGAAGACGUUGUAGGCAUCAUGAAGAAUAUCCUCUUCAACAUCAUCCAUGGCAUUCCCAUCAACAUUCAUGAUUUCUUCUUGAGGACUCUGGUGGAUAAUGCUAUGUCCCCUUUUGACCUGAAGAUUUACGCUUCAUGGAUCAUGAGAUUCAUCAGACGAAGGUCGGGCAUCAACUAUCACGCUGAUUUCAAUAAUCACCAAGGAUAUAUGCCUCCACUAAGGGUCAACAAGAAGACUUUCGAGCCUGUUGAAGGAAAAGCAAAGUUUGUGAUUGAUGAAGGCAGUCAGCCCCUUGAUGGCCAGCUCCGAGAGCCAGAUGCAUAUUACUCGUGGGAUGACACUGAAACCCAUCCACCAAGUCCUGUUGCUCCAAGGGUGAUGAAUACCAGAGAGCUUCUCCUAAGUCUUCACCAAAAGGUUGAUCGAAAUCACAAGUGGGUCAAACACCAGUUCGGCGCCAUUGUGAAAACCCUCAAUGAGACUCAGAAUGCCGUGAAGCUUAAUCAUCAUUAUCUUCAUGAGGUUUUUGAUCGCACCUGGGCCACACUGGCUCAUUUGAAGACUCCAGCAGAACUUGAAGAAUUGGAGUUUGCACAGGACUUCGACUGGUCAUGGCCACCAAAGAAGAAAUUCAAGCCAAUUCCAGUUCCGGACCUUGAGGACAGUUCGUUUUCUUCAUUCCACACUGCUGAAUCAGAUGAAGAUCAACAAGACACUGCCACUGGUCCAAGGAGGAAGUUUGCUUCCAAGAAUCCUCACGCAUCUUCAUCAACUGCCAAGAAGUGAAAGUCUUCACGGGAUGUUAGUCCUCAGUUUGUCCCUUUUUGUCACUUGAUGACAAAGGGGGAGAAAUCUGAGAGUUAGUCUUCACGUGGGGAUAUAUUUUGGGGCUUAUAAACUUUAUUUAAGUUACAAACUCUUGUCUCGUCUGAAGUGUUUUAUGUAAUGAGUUGUAACUUAAGCCCGAUGGUACUCUGACGCUUUUGAACAUUUUUCUUCGCAUGCUUAUUCCUCAAAAUAUUAAUGCACGUAUGCUGGAAUUCGUCAGAUACCAUUUCUCAUCAUGCAUUCUCAAUUUCUUCAUACUAUAUGCCAAAUGUAUGCAUGAUUUACAAGACUCACGGGGAGAUCUCCAUGAUAUAAAUCAUCAAUGUGAAUUUGCUGUGAAAAGCAAAACCCUCAAGAUAUGCACAUCUUCAGGGGGAGUCUCUCUGAAUCUUGAUUUCAAAUUCCUCAAAUGAGUAUUUACACUCCAUAUUUUUAUCCCCGUUGAAGACUUAACCUAAUUGUCAUCAACCACCAAAAAGGGGGAGAUUGUAAGUGCAUCUAGUGCCCCUUAGUGAUUUUGGUGGUUUGAAGACUUAUAGGUUAAGUAUCUAAUGUGUUCAUGAGUGUACACAGGAUCUAUAAGUCGCUGAGGAGUUUGAAAUAUUCGAUGAAUAUCGACCCCUAAAAAUGUAUAUCUUCGGCUGAAGAAAUUGGUCUAAAGCUGAAGAAUUGAAUCGUGAAGAAAUUGCGAUGAAAUUGAUAUUCCUCAUGAAGAAAUUGAAGAUGAGGAAUUCGGUGUGUCCUGAAGAAAAACAAUCUGAAGAUUUUGAAGCAUGAAGAUUUAUUCUAUCUGUUUUAUUUUCUUCACCUUUGAGUCAUAGGAACACCAUACUGUUAAAGGGGGUCAAAGUAACACGUCGGGAUGAAUUUCCUGAUGAUGCUCAGCCCAAGCCUAAUCCUACCAAAAGCCUCGAGUGAGGAAUAUGAGAGACAUGAGGACUCUCACAGUUGAGGGUCCCGACAGUUACCGCAAGUCGCACCACAUCACUGAUCUUAUCCACACCAACGGUCAUAUUAUUUAAGGGCAUUAAUGUCAAAUCAUGUCGGGAUGCUCCGAGGCUAUAAAUAGCUGCCCCCCACAACCAUUAGCUGGUUGGCUGCUCUGUUGGAAACUGACACUUGUCAUAUGAGCAACCCAAAUUCCUCAAAGUCUUCAAGAGUAAUUCAUCAGUGAGGAAAUACCCCAAACACCAAACCACAAACCGAAAACCAAGUGAUUGAGCAUCAAUGAAGAAGUUGUUCCUGUGUGGGACUGAAGCAUUUUACCUUUGAGGACUGUGCAUCCUCCAGACGGUUAGGCGUCAUGGUCUAGAGCAAUCCAGCAGUUAAUUGUGGAUCGCCAGGUGACCAAGUUUGUGAGGGUUUGGAAGUGUGCCCUGAAGACUUACCACGAGUGUUGGGCGAGGACUGUGUGUUCUUAGCCCAAGGAGAAUACGGUAGGGACUGUGUCUCCCGGGACUGUGUGUCUUUUGGUUUCAAUACCAAGCCGCUCCAAACCAGAUGUACAACUGUCAUAGCAGUUGGAACUGGGUCAUCAACCACUGUCUUCACUGUGAAACGGGUUCUAUUUCUUCAACUCUUUAAAUUCCUCAUGUUGUAUGUUGAUGAUUUUCACUGGCACUGUUUGAAGAAUUUGCUAAAGACUUCCUCUGAAAUUCCACAACCCCAAAUUCUUCACGCGAGUUAAUCCUCAUCUAUUUUCUCCGUGCGUGCAUACUGUGCAAACUGCUUUUCAUAUUCUUCACCUUGAAAACUGUUGUAGUGAUACUUUGCACUCCUGAUCCUUUGUUUCUUCCGCUGCAAGUUAGUCAUCAGUGAGGAAUUUCCUCAAAAGGAAUUUCCUCAGUGAUGAAAUUCUAAAAAUCUCCUAUUCCCCCCCCCCCCCUUCUAGUCGAUAUAACGCACUUUCAGCUAUCUGCUCGCGGCUAAAUGCUUAUGUGGAGAUGCCCCUUGAUGCAAGAAAGGAAUAAUAUUGGCUCAAGCUUCAAGCUAGAAGACUCUUCAUUUUAUAUUUGUGAGAAAUCACUUUUGAGUCCAUAGGAAAGCCAAUACUAUUAAAAGGGGAUGAGAUAGUUAAAUGAACGGAUUUCUCAAAAUGCUCAAAGUUAGCCACCGAAAUACUCAUUCAUUUUUCCCACAUAUCCACUCUGUCAAAUUCCAUAUACACAAAUUCGGUGUCACCAACUUUCACAUUUCGGACCCACCGCGUUUGGCCUUAGACAGAAACCCUAGCCAUUCCCACCAAAUCGGUGCAACCGAAUCCAUAUUGGUGCUACCGAGUUUGGGUGACCAACUUUUGGGUGCCUCGAUACACAAAAUCGGAAUUUCCGAGUUCGAGUAUCGGUGCCACCGAGUUUGGUCAUCUGACCGUUAGCCACCUUUUCUGUGUCACCGAGUUUCAUACAUCGGUCUCACGGAGAUUCAAAAGUUGAUGCCUUUAGUGCUAAUUGGUACCACCGAGUUUUUCACUUCAGUGUCACCGAGUUUGCCACUUUGUGAGUAACGGUUGGAUUUUGUGUGAUGCCUAUAUAUACCCCUUCACCCACCUCUCAUUCCUGGGAGAAGCACUCAGAACACACACUUCAUUGCCAGAUCCAUUUUCUAAGAGAGAACCACCUACUCAUGUGUUGAGACCAAUAUAUUCCAAUCCAUCAUUUGAAACUUUAUCUCUAGCCUCCCCAAACAGCUUUCCAUCAAAUCAAUCUCUCCUACCCAUGCAUAUUCAGUGAGAGAGUGAUUUUGUGUUGAGGAGACUAUCUUUAGAAGCACAAGAGCAAGGAGUUCAUUGAUCUACCACGUCUAUUACCUUUUGGAGGGUGGUGCCUCCUAGAUUGGUUAGGUGUCGCUUGGGAGCCUCCUACUUCAUGUUGUGGAGUUGAACCAAGACUUUGACGUGAGCACAAUGAUUGUUCUAUUUGGAGUUUCUUCUUCUUCUUCAUUUAUCUAGGAUGGAUUCCAGGCCGAUAGCUUGGGAUAGCAAGGAUGGAUGUCGUUCUUUUAUCGUUUGUUUUCGUUCGUAUCCGGACCCUAAUCUUCUUCACAAUGAUUGAUUAUGUUGUUGUAUUGAUGUGAUCUUGAUGUAGCUUGUGGUGAGUGUAAGCCAACUCCUUAUACUCAUCUUUUCAGUACAUGUACUCGUAUCGAUAUCCAUUCUUGCGAAACGACGAGAUGCGUUUCUAUCCCUGUCGAGGCCCUCACGCCAAAAUAAGGAUAGGGCAUCUUGGGCCAAUUUGAAACGCACAAGAUGCGAUCCUAUCCUUAUUUUGGCUCGAGGGCCUCGACAGGGAUAGAAGCGCAUCUCGUCGUUUUGCAAGAAUAGAUAUCGUUACAAGUACAUGUACUGAAGAGAUGAGUAUAUGGAAUUGGCUUACACUCACCACAAGCUACAUCAAGUUUAAAUCACUACAACAACAUAAUCAAUCAUCAUGAAGAAGAGUAGGGUCCGACUAAGGACGAAAACAAACGAUAAAAAACGACGUCCAUCCUUGCUAUCCCAGGUUGCCGGCUUCGAACCCAUCCUAGAUCGAUCAGGAAGAAUAAGAAACUCCAAAUAGAACAAUCAUCGCGCUCACGUCAAGGUAUCGCUUUACUUGUACCUGCAACUGGUGUUGAGUAAUCUGUGAGCCACAGGGACUCAGCCAUCUCAUUUCCAAAGGUAUCAAUACUAGCAAAGCAUAAUGGGUGAGGUAUGGUUAAGUGGUGAGGCUGCAGCAAGCGACUAAGCAUUUAUUUGAGGUGGCUAACUUAGAAGUACAAGAAUAAGACGGGGAUGAUCUACGCACAUCGGACGUGAACUAACAAUGAUCAAAUGAAUGAUCCUGAACCCUACUUACAUCUGACAUAACCCACCAUGUCCUCGAUCGGAGAAGGAGCUCAAGAAAGAGACAAUCACGGUUACGCACAGUUUACUUCAAGUUAUCUAGAAUCGGAUGUUAAACAAAGUUUCCAAGUUUGUCACAUAACCGCGGGCACGGCUUUUCGAAAGAUUUAACCCUUUAGGGGUGCUCCAACUAGUCCAUCAUAAGUUACCACCAAUCCACAUAGAAAGCCUCGACCACGAAACUCAUGAUCUCCUCGGAUUCCUUAUUGGAAAACCUCAACUCUGAGACAGCCCAAAGCAUCACCGGAAUCCCGAUGCACAAGAUAUUUCGUAAACGGUAAAACUAAUCCAGCAAGGCCGCCCGGCGUGCCGAUAGAGCCGAUGGGAGCCGCGUAUCUCGUUCUCAGGGCACGACCGGAUGAGCUAGAUGUCGGGUUGGCUCAAACUCCGGGUGACCAGGGGGCGCUCGACAUCGCUCAUGUUGGACCACCACUCAUGAGGACCACUGGCCCGGGAGUUGAUUAAUUUCCUUGGGGGUCGACUAGUCCCUAUGCAAGUUUAUUAGUUAUUAGGCAAAUGUAGUACCAAAGUUGGGCCUUGCCAGACAAGCUUUAACUAAGACGAGUUAUCAAGGGGGUCCCCAUAACAACCCCGAUCGUGUUAGGAGCGCUCAAUUAUGGAAUAUAACACCGGUAGCCGAAACUAAGGCGACAAAGGUGGAACAAAACACCAGGCUAGAAAGGUCAAGCCUUCCACCUUUUACCAAGUAUAUAGGUGCAUUAAUUUAAAUAGCAUUAAUAUGGUGAUAUAACAAGGAUCCCAUGUUAUCACAUGGAAGCAACUGCACCUGCAACUAGCAACGCUAUCCAAUGGUUAAGCAACCGGUAACAUAGCCAUUUAGUGGUUUGCUAGGUUGUAGAAAGGUUGAAGGUUUUUAUGGCAAUGUUGGAAGGCUUAUUAAACAGGUGGUAGGCAUUGAGACAUAGCGAUAGAAAUGAAACAACUAGCAUGGCAAUGAUAGUAAUGGUAUCUAGGGAAAUGAUCAUCUUGCCUGUGAUCCGGCCUGGAAGAAGAACGAAACCCUCAAGUAGACGAACCAACAUAGUCGAACGGAUCCUCACACUCUGAAGCGGAUCGGAGCUCUAUCGAGAAGAAGCAGACUGGAAAAAGAAUCAACACACGAUAUUCACCACGACACAUGCACGAUAUGAUGCAAAACCUAAUAUGAUGCAUGUCCAUUUCAAUUAUGCAAGGCAUGGCAUGGCAAUUCACAACAUCAAACACUACACAUUAAGUGAAGCUCAAUAUGCAACGAGUUGCAUAUUGACGAAACUCCACAUUCGAAUUAUUUAAUUCACUCCCGUUUAGGUACACGACAAUUUUAAAAUAUUGUUCACAUGGCAAGAGGUGAAGCAUGUGAUUCUACACGUCAUUCUAGUCGGUUACACAUAUAGCUCAUCUCCGACGGAGUUACGGCCUACAAGAUACGGGCAACGCAAGAUAUUAUGCCAUGAAUACAACAUGCAUGCAAUUUUAUUAAACACUGGCAAGAAGGAUAUGAAGCAUGUGUCACCAUGAGGAAAGAAAGAAGACCAUGGGGCAAAGCGGAAACGAUGCCACGGCAACAUUCCGGUCCCGAUAACUCGACGAGAUAUCAGUACCAACGAAUUUUGAGCGUGUGCAUGUCAUGCCAAAGAAUGAUGGGGUGAUCCCGGUAACCAGGUUCCCAUGUGUCGGGGCACGACAAAAGAGGGACAACGUGCAACGAGCAAUCAUAUAUGGUGCAAGGAUACGGUUCAACUCAUACAUCACAUGUAUUCGGUCCACGGCAUCGUCCCAACGGUUAUACCUUUGAAGCGUGCAUUUCGGAGCGGAUCGAGGUUCGUCGAGGGAAGUAGUCGUACACGUGUCGUCGUGGACGUCGUUGAAGUAGUCGUACACGCAUCUUCGGUGAUGGUAGUUGUACACGGUUGGUGACGAACUUGACGUAUCCACGAUCUUCGGAGGUCGACGGUAGUGGUUCCCGUAGUUGUUCACGUGUCAAAUCGUUGGCCUUGAUGAAUCGGAAGGGAUACUUGGCGAUCCAAGGGUGCUCAUGUUCAAGGAGGUCUCGGUUCCGGUGAUGGCAGCAAAGGAACAUGGUCGUCUUGCACUUGCGUGAACCAAAUCGAAAUGACACAAAAAAUUACGGGUGACGCAUCCAAAUGGCCAACCUAAACCAGUUGCAUCUGAGGGCAGCAAGGAGCCACGACAAAGGUCAGCGACAACAACAACACACAGGAGUGGCAACAGCAUGCUAUAGCAACAGCAGGCGGUAGAAGCAGCAAACAGUGGAUGUUGGAGGAAGCAAAGGGCUCGGGCAGCUUGUGUGCAGGGGAGAAAACGGCGCAGCCUAGGCGCUGGCAGCUGUGAGGAGGCGGGCAACAUCGCAUGGGUUCUCGAUAGAGGCCAAUGCCAUGGGAGGCGGGAGGCGGUCGAGCGCCAUGGCUGGGAAGGAGGGGCUCGAGGCGAGCUCCUCAUGGCUGGCGGGGCAGCGGGCGAGACCGAGCUGGGCCGUCUCCUAGGAGACGCUGCGUCAACGCUCGCUCGAGAGCGACCACGAGGGGUUGCUCUCAUUCUCCACGAAGCAAAACGAAGGCGGCACGACCCCUCGUCGGAUUGGGAGCAGGACGCAGAGGGGCGACAAAUCCUCGCCGGAUCUGGAGGUGGGCGAUUUAGCGGACCAAAUCCGAGGCGGAGCAGCAACGCAUGACGGCGAACGAAGCUACGGCACGGCUGGCGGAGCUUGCGGGCCGACCAUGACAGCGAGCGAAGCAGGGGACAUGGCGGCGACAGGCGAUGAACUUGGUGCUGGCAGGGAGCUUGGGGCGGAGGCGACCUCGAGGCCGGCAACGGAGUAGUCUGCGGGGCUGCGUCGACCGGCGAGCGCGCUGCUGCGACAGCGGGCACGGCGGCGAGGCCUGGGCGUGAUGAGGGCGGCUGUUGUAGAUGCGUGGGGACGAGGAGCAUCUCCUCGACGCAGAGGAGGCACAUGCGACUGCGGGUGCGGCUAUGUGUUGCGGGUGUGACGAGGCUCUCGGGCCCUGGCUGCUCGAGAGAAGAUGGGCGCUUGCGCGGCUGCGGUUGGCUGGGCUGGAUCGGGCAGGGGCGGCACUGGUUGGGCAGAUGGGAUCUAGGAGGAUCCCGAGGAGGGACAAAGGGGGCGGCGGCGCUGCGGGGUUAGGGUAGGCUAGGUCUAGGGUUAGGUCAAGGUUUGUCGAAAAUGGACUAGAGGCACACUAUAUAUAGCACGAUGGUUAGUUUUAGGGGCAUGUGGACCCUCUGAUUUAGAUCGGGUGGUCGAGAUAAUUAGGUUAGGAAGUCCACUCAAGAAACCGAUGACGCUUUGCAGUAAAACGGGGUUGAUCUAAACCCAACGGUCAAGACUGUCUGAUUCGUUCUGGGGGAAGUCUCGGGCUAGGUUGCGCGUAGGGUCGGUGCACUGUGCGAAGGGGCUAGGCAUAGAAGAGCGAAGGGGCUAGGCAUAGAAGAGAGGGAAAACGUACACCCGGCAUGAGGUUUUUAAAACACCAAAACGUCCAACAUUUGACCGGCUAUAGUGUCGCUAUAGGUUUAACGGUUCGGAUUCGAACGAACUCCGAUUGCGAUGAAACUUGGCAGGCGGUCUACCUAUAACUAAAUAAGAUCACACGCCAACUUUCAACCCAUUCAGAAAAUGUUUUAUACACACUUUUAAAAAUAAUAUUUAAAUGAUGUCGCGGGCGCGUGUGUGUGGUUGGUCUCAAAACGGUCAACGACAAAAGGAGAGAACCGACAACUACUAAUGGAUGCAAGUUUUGAAAACUGGCGACAACGAAGUGCCGAUGCAAUGCAGAUGAUGCGCAUGAUGCGAUGAUGAAUGCGACAAAUAAAAUAAUCACACUGUGGCAACCGAAUAAAAGGAGAAUCUUUUGGAGCGUCGGUCUCGGGCUGUUACAGUUACCUUCAGGUGAACUUACACCGGUGUGAUAUUAACCUUCUUUAUUGGGGACUGGUUAUCUUCCUAUGCAAUCACAUUCGUUCUGCGUACUUGACAAUCUGCAAGUUUCUCAUCCGUCUUAUUCAAGUCUUGGUACGCCAGCGCUUCUAGGCGCCUACACUAUACCACAUGCUUCGGUAUGCAGAUUCCAUGCGAAACUCUCGUGGUCAAACUGGUGAUUUUAGGAAAUCGAUAUGUGUCAACAGAUUGAUCUCUCGACGUCUUCAUCCAUCUCCAAUGAUCGACAUGUGUUUGUGUGUGGGCCUACCCAUCGCUAUCCACAGCUAGCCUUAUCUCUUCAUUCGAUGAAGCUAGUCCACACUUUCUCUCUGCCAAGUCUUUCUUUCCUCUGUUCUUCGUCCGCCUUCUCUCCUUUGCUCCUCAUGUCUCCACCAUCGCUCGUCGGUGCUAUCAAAAAACACCACCGAUGUUGCCCCCGUGCGCGGGGAUGGUGGUGCCGCCGUUGUCUCUGCUGUAAAAUCCGCUUUCUUGCAAACUCGAGGGGCGGGGCAAAAUCGAUGGUGCAUCCAUCCUGCGGCGAGUAGCGGUCGGGUACUCGCUGGCGAUAGUUCUUCAAAGCAACACAAGAUGGGUGAGGGAGUCACAUGUUGCGAUGGUCAUAGUGCUGGAAGCAUUGAAUUGUACGACAGCGAUGAGAUCUUGGCGCCAACAUCAUUGUUGCAUUCCCUCGCCACAUUAUCCUUCAUGGAGUCGUCGGUGCUACACCAGACUCCGACCAGACUUACAACGGCAACGAGGUCUCAAUGCCAACAUCAUUGUAGCAGUCCAGCUCGUUGACGAUGCCACAAUGCAACUACGGAGGGGAUUGUGUGCUUGGAAGGAUGACGAUGCCACAAUGCAACUACGGAGGGGGUUGUGUGCUUGGAAGGAUGACGAUGCCACAGUGCAACUACGGAGGGGGUUGUGUGCUUGGAAUGAUAUAAUGGUGCCGAUUCAUACGAUGGUUGGGCCACCGAUGUCCGAUGAAGCAUCGCCGUGGCACUAGUGUUGCGGUGAAGCAUCAUCAAAGCUGAUGGUGCUUCGUUGAAGCAUCGUCGGCACUGCAAUGUAGCAUGCACGUCACAACACUGGCGAUGCCUUGCAAUGUCCGUCAAAGCUCGCCGGAGCUGUGAUGUGCCGCUCGUCAGUGCUGCUAUGCAGCAGCGUGCAUGCCGUUGUAGAGAGGCUGCUCGGUGCUGCGUUGGAGGCAGGAGUGGCGGCAGUGCUGCACUGCAUCAAUGGUGAGGGCUGUGCUGCUACACUGCAUCAAUGAUGGCUGAUGAUGCUGCAAAGUAGCAUCCAUGGCGUCUCCGACAACACGAGACGGUGGCUAGCAUCGCUGCUGUACAGCUGGGCAUUUCUUGGCGUAGAUGGAAGAAAAAAGGAAGAGAGACGCGCUGCACACCUGUUGGAUCGAACGACUAUAUGGACUUGAAUUGGACGGCUGAGCAAGCGGUUGAUCUUUCCUCAAGAUCAAUCGGCUGAUUUCUAGCAGCCCGGUGGUUUUUAGUUCUGGUGAAAAUGAACAAAACUUCUCUUUUCUAAAACUUUAACACAAAAUAAACCUAAUCUAAAAACUUUAACACAAACUGGACCGCACAAAAAAAGGGUCCCUUUUUGCACGACACCCCAGGCAAAAAGGGCAUUUUGUGAAAUAUUUUCUCUAUAUGCACCUGAAAAAUAUUAAGAAACUGUCAUUGAACAAUCUAAGAUAUUUAUUGAUAUGGAACAAAAGUUUAUAUAUAAAAACCCAGACGACUUGGACAUACUCCCCCCGACCCAAAAUGAAUGUCUCGUAUAAAGCUGAGACAAUUAUUUUGGGGCGAAGGGAAUACAAAGUAGGCCGCUGCUUCCAUACUUCGUCCAUGGAUGCUUCGGACACUCCAUUUGCUUGCUUGCAUAUUUGGACACUCCACUUGCUUGCUUGCAUAUUUGGACACGCCACUUGCUUGCUUGCAUAUUUGGACAAGGGAUGCUUCGAACGCCACUUGCAAAGAGAUUAACCCUAAACCAUCAGAACCAACGACAGCAUGUCUCUCCAAACAUAUAUGGGCUCCCAGUGCAAUCUGCAUUCUGCAAGAUGAAAGAAAAACAAGAACCAUGUGGUGACCCAUACCAUACAACCAAAUGCACAAAAGGGGGACAAUUAUAUGGUCCAGCAACGAUACAAGUUCCCAGUUAUAAAUGUUUAUGGUCCAUGUAUAAUAUCCUGAUGAACAAGCGCGGCAAACCGAAAACAAAGCAAAGCUAGUGCCAUCAAUGUUUCACAGAAUUUAUUCUUCCACCUCUGGACAUCUAAACACGAACGUCCGCCGGAUGCGUCUCCUCAGGCAGGCAAAGAUCGCUCCUAGUUAGUUCCCUCGGGCUUCUGUCAAGAUGAAGAGAUGUGUUAGUCCGUAGAAUAAUGUUGCAGUGAUAGCAAAAAGCAGCGCAAAUUGUAUCUCUAUAAGGACAGCGAUUACUUACAAACUGGCAAACCACAUAACCCUACAAGAAGCAUGGCAUGCCGAUAAAUCAUGGGAAAAUCUGAGCAUUUAGCUUUUCUUACAUCAAAAGGGCCGAGCCCUUGCUCCAUUUCAUCGAAAUGAAACAUCAUAUAGUAAGUGGUCGUCAAAAUCUGCCAACCAAUGCUCCGCGUUUGGAGGAAUCCACGCAUUAUGUUAAAAGGGUGUUCGCCACAUAAAUGAGAUUUGAUAUACC
RNAcentral lists this long non-coding RNA (38954 nucleotides) under Hordeum vulgare. Its description in RNAcentral is "long non-coding RNA (HVUL_LNC018741)". Lineage: Eukaryota; Viridiplantae; Streptophyta; Magnoliopsida; Poales; Poaceae. The record is from RNAcentral.